GUACUCCGGGGAUAACAGGCUGAUACCGCCCAAGAGUUCAUAUCGACGGCGGUGUUUGGCACCUCGAUGUCGGCUCAUCACAUCCUGGGGCUGAAGUAGGUCCCAAGGGUAUGGCUGUUCGCCAUUUAAAGUGGUACGCGAGCUGGGUUUAGAACGUCGUGAGACAGUUCGGUCCCUAUCUGCCGUGGGCGCUGGAGAAUUGAGGGGGGCUGCUCCUAGUACGAGAGGACCGGAGUGGACGCAUCACUGGUGUUCGGGUUGUCAUGCCAAUGGCACUGCCCGGUAGCUAAAUGCGGAAGAGAUAAGUGCUGAAAGCAUCUAAGCACGAAACUUGCCCCGAGAUGAGUUCUCCCUGAGACUUUAAGUCUCCUGAAGGAACGUUAAAGACGAUGACGUUGAUAGGCCGGGUGUGUAAGCGCAGCGAUGCGUUGAGCUAACCGGUACUAAUGAACCGUGAGGCUUAACCUUAC
This 470-nucleotide ribosomal RNA is filed under the name Klebsiella pneumoniae subsp. pneumoniae Ecl8. It matches the Rfam family "Bacterial large subunit ribosomal RNA", at positions 2463 to 2925 of the family's 2925-position model. The record is from RNAcentral. Lineage: Bacteria; Pseudomonadati; Pseudomonadota; Gammaproteobacteria; Enterobacterales; Enterobacteriaceae.